This is a long non-coding RNA of Haliotis rufescens (red abalone), 2202 nucleotides long. RefSeq lists it as uncharacterized. The record is from RefSeq and is a predicted model, not a curated record. Lineage: Eukaryota; Metazoa; Mollusca; Gastropoda; Lepetellida; Haliotidae. The transcript has 4 exons.
ACAAUUACAUGGGCAGCCCUACAACAACCCCGUCCUACCGGUUCUGGAAAGUCCUCCUUCUGCAAUGGCUUGAGAUCAGCACUGAAGGAUUCUGACACACCUGCCACCUAUUACGCCGUUGGUAAUAUCGGCACCACACUAACUAGCAGGUUCCAGUCUGCACGAUACGGAGAUCACUGGAUUAUUGACAUGCCAGGAAUAUUUGAAUCCAGUGAUUUCAAAACGGAGAAUAUUGAAGCUAUUACAUCAGGCAAGGUUCGCUUUGAUGACCAGAUAACUAAAACUCUGGAGGUGGAAGACGGCUAGAUGUCAUCAUAAAAUUAAGGGGAGAAGGUGCCCUGUCCUACCACCUGGUGCUGACUCACCUGGAUGAGUGUGACCCACAGUCCAAGGACCCAGAUAACAUCCCUAACCUGUACAAUUCACCUCUAGUACAGGAAGCAGUGAAGAACAUGUCAGAACAAACUGGCAUUCCACCAUACUCCAUCAGCUAUGUCAAGAAUUAUGUGACGGAAACAGAAACAGACACCAAGACCAAGCUGCUUCACUUGAAAGCUCUUGACAGAAUCCUCACCUCUGCAGCUGACCAAGUGGAGAAGAUGAUAGAUUUAAAACUUCAGUCGAGCAUGUAUGAUGAUGCCCCUGAUGCCUAGGAGAGAAAGCUGCAUCUGCCGGCUGAGAUAUGUUCGUCCGCUGUGGUAUAUAUUUCUGCCCAGCGAAUGUAAAACCAUGCUCUGUUAUGUAAAUAGAGGCGCUCGCGCAUUAUAUUAAUUAGUGUUCUUCACCAUGGACAUUAUGAUGUCUUGAAAUAUUGAGUAAAAACGAAUACGUGCAUGGUAUUAUCAGAAGAGAAAGGAAACAACAUAUUGAUAUUUUCAAUCUUUAAACUCAACAAGACAGUUGUGAAUACAAAACUUCGACCAAACACAUAUAAUUACGAAAGGAUGUGAUGUUUGUGACAAAACAUUCUAAACUCUGGAGUACAUCAAAUGUAAAUAGAUAAACAGUUUGUAACGUUACAGAACUACUAUGCGUUGGAAAAUAAAUCACCAGUUUGACCGGUCAGGCAAUUUAAGUCACAAUAAACAACACUUCGACAACCAGUAGGUAGUCUAAUUUGAUGAGAGUAGUAUUUGUAGGUUGUGACGUCUUGUGAUGAUUUGUAGUUCUGCUUCAGUCAAUGUUCUCGUGCAUGCGUAUGAAAUAAAUGUGCACCAUUUAGAUUAUUCUCAUUUAUUCACGCUCUCUGCAACAUAUUCUCCUGAUAUGCUUUUACACCUUAUUCAUUAUGGCCAAACUUCUUAAGACAUUAGACUGAGCGAAAGCAGUUUCAGAAGAAUGGAGAUACACUGUCCAUGUCACAUGCGGUUUCGGCUCCGCAUUAUUACACCUCGACCUACAACUGUCGGAGUAUAUAGUAUAUGGAUUCUUUUCCAGCUAGGGUUCAAGUGUCCAUACUAAUAGGAGAGGUGCAGUGCAAAGUUUGAUUUUAAUAUUUUUAUUUUCUGAAACAUCAUAGCUAUUGUUCGUUUUUUUAAACUUAGAAUUCAUUUCUAUACCAAUUGGAGAACUGUAGUGAAAGUUUGGUUUCGAUAAGUGGAUUUUCUACGAAAAUGUUUUGUACUUUGAAACACGUUGGAGUCGAAGUCGUGGGUACUAGUGAGCCUUUUGCCUUGAUCCUUAUGGUAGCCACGAAUGAUGUAUAAUGUGUUCAUGUAUUAAUGUUUAAUGUAUUAAUGUUUAAUGUGACACUAUUCAUAAAAGAUGAGUGCAUUCAUGAGUGUAUUCCAAAAGUCUUCUUUCUUCAUAAAUGAGGAAAAUAGGUGAUUAUUACGGCAUGUACAUACAAUUUCACUCCAUGAAUGAGUAGUAACGUUGCUGUUUACAAGACAGCGAGAAAUAACCAUGAUUCAUGAUUACAUGCUGUUGUAUCUUGACAACUGAUGGCUACGAUCUUUCUUGUAACUAACGGGAUUUUGUAUUAGAAGACUGGAAGUGUUAACGCAAGUAUUAAACAUGUUUUGAGUAUUUGUUAUUGGGAUUGUGUCAACGUGAACUGUUUUCUCUUCUAUGCUUAUCUAUGUAUGUAUGAUUUUACCUAAUUCUACCUUUCUUGUUAUAAUCACAUUAUGUAUUGCUGUAGUUUGUCGUGUUGGCUUGGUGUAUACUUGUUCUUUCAAUAAAUACCAUUAGAAAAAUGUG